AAGUACCGCGAGGGAAAGGUGAAAAGAACCCCGUAAGGGGAGUGAAAUAGAACAUGAAACUGUAAGCUUACAAGCAGUAGGAGGACGACUUAACGUCUGACUGCGUGCCUGUUGAAGAAUGAGCCGGCGACUUAUAAGUAAUGGCAGGUUAAUUUUAGGAGCCAUAGCGAAAGCGAGUCUGAAUAGGGCGUUUGUCGUUGCUUAUAGACCCGAACCCGGAUGAUCUAACCAUGG
This 234-nucleotide ribosomal RNA is filed under the name uncultured eukaryote. Its description in RNAcentral is "partial Bacterial large subunit ribosomal RNA". It matches the Rfam family "Bacterial large subunit ribosomal RNA", at positions 496 to 739 of the family's 2925-position model. The record is from RNAcentral.